GGGAGAGUAGUUUAAAUUUGGAAGAAUGAUACUUUUGUAAAGUAUUGGUACAUGUCUGUUUCUUCCU
Molecule: transfer RNA, 67 nt
Filed under: Holostephanus sp. FJ-2023
Lineage: Eukaryota; Metazoa; Platyhelminthes; Trematoda; Diplostomida; Cyathocotylidae
Description: tRNA-Thr
Source: RNAcentral